UAGGACUGUCUCAAUCCAUAUGAACCUACCUAGAUUUUAAGAUUAUCAUCCCAGGCUCUGCUCUGUGGUUUAUAUUUAAAUCAGACCUGUUGGAUAGAUGAAGAAUAUUCCCUGAGUUUCUCCUUCUGUCACCCAUGCCAACUGCUUCAAGAAUCACUUGCUCUGCAUUUCAAUAACCAGAGAUGAAUGGAGGGAGAAGAGAUCAUCAGGUCAGAAGCCUCUGUGCUGCAAAAGCAUCAAUGGUCCCAUUCCAAAAAUGCACAAAGGCCAUUUUCCUUGCUAUUCAGACACAGGGACAUCUCUUCAUAAAGUAAUGUCUUGGUCAA
Molecule: long non-coding RNA, 326 nt
Organism: Lacerta agilis (Sand lizard)
Lineage: Eukaryota; Metazoa; Chordata; Lepidosauria; Squamata; Lacertidae
Exons: 2
Source: RefSeq, a predicted model, not a curated record